ACCAGCAUGGUGUAGUGGUUUGAGCAUUAGACUAUAAUUCUGAAGACCAGGGUUCAAUUCCCUGCUCAGCUA
RNAcentral lists this transfer RNA (72 nucleotides) under Phrynosoma platyrhinos (Desert horned lizard). RNAcentral describes it as "tRNA-OTHER". The stretch from base 9 to 72 matches the Rfam family "tRNA". Rfam says of the family: Transfer RNA (tRNA) molecules are approximately 80 nucleotides in length. Their secondary structure includes four short double-helical elements and three loops (D, anti-codon, and T loops). The record is from RNAcentral. Lineage: Eukaryota; Metazoa; Chordata; Lepidosauria; Squamata; Phrynosomatidae.